Molecule: non-coding RNA, 223 nt
Filed under: Rhizobium sp. BK060
Lineage: Bacteria; Pseudomonadati; Pseudomonadota; Alphaproteobacteria; Hyphomicrobiales; Rhizobiaceae
Source: RNAcentral
AAAGUUCAAUACGGAGAAGAAGUGGCGAAUCACUCUGACCCCGAGUCAUGCGGGGCACAUCGCGAGGUGUGCGUCGAAGCGUUGACAGGGGAAACCGGCAGGCCGGCCAUAGAGCCGCGAAAUGAUCAGUUCGGGAUGCCGACGCUGUUAAGCGAAGCGGAAGGCAACACGGUGCAUGGCGUCAAUCGCAAGCCAUGCCCCGAUCCCGCGCGGUCGGAGACCC